UUACGGCCAUAUCACGUUGGAACACAGGUUCUUGUAAGAUCAUUAAAGUUAAGCAACGUUGAGCCUGGUCAGUACCUAUAUGGGGGACCGCUUGGGAAGACCAGAUUCUG
Molecule: non-coding RNA, 110 nt
Organism: Acanthosepion pharaonis
Lineage: Eukaryota; Metazoa; Mollusca; Cephalopoda; Sepiida; Sepiidae
Source: the annotation of a GenBank genome assembly